UCCCUGGUGGCUCAGACAGUAAAGCAUCUGCCUACAAUGCAGGAGACCCAGGUUCAAUCCCUGGGUUGGGAA
Non-coding RNA from Bos taurus (domestic cattle), 72 nucleotides. NCBI's taxonomy places the organism in Eukaryota, Metazoa, Chordata, Mammalia, Artiodactyla, Bovidae. The record is from Rfam.